UACGUAGGGUGCAAGCGUUGUCCGGAAUUAUUGGGCGUAAAGAGCUUGUAGGCGGUUUGUCGCGUCUGCUGUGAAAUUUCGGGGCUCAACCCCGAACUUGCAGUGGGUACGGGCAGACUAGAGUGUGGUAGGGGAGACUGGAAUUCCUGGUGUAGCGGUGAAAUGCGCAGAUAUCAGGAGGAACACCGAUGGCGAAGGCAGGUCUCUGGGCCAUAACUAACGCUGAGAAGCGAAAGCGUGGGGAGCAAACAGG
This 253-nucleotide ribosomal RNA is filed under the name uncultured bacterium. RNAcentral's name for it is "partial 16S ribosomal RNA". It matches the Rfam family "Bacterial small subunit ribosomal RNA", at positions 524 to 776 of the family's 1533-position model. The record is from RNAcentral.